This 584-nucleotide ribosomal RNA is filed under the name uncultured fungus. RNAcentral describes it as "eukaryotic LSU rRNA". The stretch from base 202 to 350 matches the Rfam family "5.8S ribosomal RNA". The record is from RNAcentral. Lineage: Eukaryota; Fungi.
GGAAGUAAAAGUCGUAACAAGGUUUCCGUAGGUGAACCUGCGGAAGGAUCAUUCACACAUAUAAUCCACAUCGUGUGAACCUGCCCAAACAGAAAUGUUUGCGGUGUUCAUGGUUAAUCAGCUCGCUUGGAUUAACCCGAGGCAACUCGUAUCGAGCAAUCUUCAUGAAAUCAUAACAAAAUAUCCAAAAUAUCUAUUAUGAACCAUCAGCAAUGGAUGUCUUGGCUCCCAUAACGAUGAAGGACGCAGCAAAGUGCGAUAAGCAUUGUGAACUGCAGAAUUCAGUGAAUCAAUAGAACGCUCAACGCAGACGACACUGUACUUUGUACAGUAGGCCUGUUUCAGAGUCAUCUGCAAUCCCCUCCCAAAUCUGUUGAAAAACAUAUUUGCUGGGGUCAAGGUGCUGCUCGGACUUUUCAGUCUUGGCAGUCGCAGAGUUCUUCAGUUCCUCAAGUUCCAAAACAUGUUCGGUAACGUACUGUUGUGGAUCAAUCUUGUGGUAAAAUGCUGAAGCAUACUAUAUUACAUGACCUGAAAUCAGACCAGGCUACCCGCUGGACUUAAGCAUAUCAAUAAGCGGAGGA